GAGAGAGGGAGCCCUGAGAUGGACUCUGAGACAUGAGUCCAGGCCCUACGGGGCGCAGCAGUCGCGAAAACUUCACAAUGGGGGAAACCCCGAUGAGGGAAUUCCAAGUGCCAGCACAUUGUGUUGGCUGUUCUCUGGUCUAAAAAACCGGAGAAGUAAGGGCCGGGUAAGACGGGUGCCAGCCGCCGCGGUAAUACCCGCGGCCCAAGUGGUGGUCGAUAUUAUUGAGCCUAAAACGUCCGUAGCCGGUCUUGUAAAUCCUUGGGUAAAUCGACCAGCUCAACUGUUCGAAGUCCGGGGAGACUGCAAGACUUGGGAUCGGGAGAGGUGAGAGGUACUUCUGGGGUAGGGGUAAAAUCCUGUAAUCCUAGAAGGACCACCGGUGGCGAAGGCGUCUCACUAGAACGAAUCCGACGGUGAGGGACGAAGCCCUGGGGCGCAAACGGGAUUAGAUACCCCGGUAGUCCAGGGUGUAAACGCUGCGGGCUUGGUGUUGGGGGUCCUUUGAGGGCGCCCAGUGCCGGAGAGAAGUUGUUAAGCCUGCUGCUUGGGGAGUACGUCCGCAAGGAUGAAACU
RNAcentral lists this ribosomal RNA (576 nucleotides) under uncultured archaeon. Its description in RNAcentral is "bacterial SSU rRNA". It matches the Rfam family "Archaeal small subunit ribosomal RNA", at positions 278 to 856 of the family's 1478-position model. The record is from RNAcentral.